GCAAGUCGAGCGCGAAAGUCCCUUCGGGGGCGAGUAGAGCGGCGAAAGGGUGAGUAAUGCUUGGGUAACUUACCCCCUGGACCGGGAUAGCCACUGGAAACGGUGGGUAAUACCGGAUGGUCUCGCGAGCACUGCGGUGGUUGCGAGUAAAUGCGGGGGCCUUCGGGCCUCGCGCCAAGGGAGAGACCCGAGUUCUACCAGCUUGUUGGUGAGGUAAUGGCUCACCAAGGCGAAGACGGAUAGCCGGACUGAGAGGUUGGCC
Molecule: ribosomal RNA, 262 nt
Filed under: uncultured bacterium
Lineage: Bacteria
Description: partial 16S ribosomal RNA
Rfam family: Bacterial small subunit ribosomal RNA
Source: RNAcentral